RNAcentral lists this ribosomal RNA (713 nucleotides) under uncultured bacterium. RNAcentral's name for it is "bacterial SSU rRNA". It matches the Rfam family "Bacterial small subunit ribosomal RNA", at positions 111 to 823 of the family's 1533-position model. The record is from RNAcentral.
UAACACGUAUCCAACCUGCCGAUAACUCGGGGAUAGCCUUUCGAAAGAAGGAUUAAUACCCGAUGGUAUAAUCCGACCGCAUGGUCUUGUUAUUAAAGAAUUUCGGUUAUCGAUGGGGAUGCGUUCCAUUAGGCAGUUGGUGAGGUAACGGCUCACCAAACCUUCGAUGGAUAGGGGUUCUGAGAGGAAGGUCCCCCACAUUGGAACUGAGACACGGUCCAAACUCCUACGGGAGGCAGCAGUGAGGAAUAUUGGUCAAUGGGCGCAGGCCUGAACCAGCCAAGUAGCGUGAAGGAUGACUGCCCUAUGGGUUGUAAACUUCUUUUAUAUGGGAAUAAAGUUUUCCACGUGUGGAAUUUUGUAUGUACCAUAUGAAUAAGGAUCGGCUAACUCCGUGCCAGCAGCCGCGGUAAUACGGAGGAUCCGAGCGUUAUCCGGAUUUAUUGGGUUUAAAGGGAGCGUAGGUGGACAGUUAAGUCAGUUGUGAAAGUUUGCGGCUCAACCGUAAAAUUGCAGUUGAUACUGGCUGUCUUGAGUACAGUAGAGGUGGGCGGAAUUCGUGGUGUAGCGGUGAAAUGCUUAGAUAUCACGAAGAACUCCGAUUGCGAAGGCAGCUCACUGGACUGCAACUGACACUGAUGCUCGAAAGUGUGGGUAUCAAACAGGAUUAGAUACCCUGGUAGUCCACACAGUAAACGAUGAAUACUCGCUGU